AGAAGUAAAGUAUAAAAAUAGCUGCUAACUAAUUUUUAAAGCGGUUAAAUUCCGUUUGCUUCUU
RNAcentral lists this transfer RNA (64 nucleotides) under Atkinsoniella heiyuana. RNAcentral describes it as "tRNA-Ser". The record is from RNAcentral. Lineage: Eukaryota; Metazoa; Arthropoda; Insecta; Hemiptera; Cicadellidae.